AAAACUUUCAACAACGGAUCUCUUGGCUCUCGCAUCGAUGAAGAACGCAGCGAAAUGUGAUAAGUAAUGUGAAUUGCAGAAUUCAGUGAAUCAUCGAAUCUUUGAACGCAUCUUGCGCUUGCUGGUAUUCCGGCAAGCAUGUCUGUUUGAGUGUUGUGAACUUUUCAACCCCCCAUUUUUCUUUACUGAGAUUUGGGUGUGGCUUGGUUUCUGAACGUUUGCUGGGCUGGUCUCCCUUGGGAUUCCAAAGUCGAAGCUCGUUUGUAAUGCAUUAGCAUCCUAAUCUUCGAGAUCAGAUUGACUCGGCGUAAUAGACUAUUCCGCUGAGGACAUGGCACCUGUUAACUCGGGUGUGGUGGCUGGCCUUGGAAAAUUGGAAGCUUAGAAAACCCGUCGGAUUUUAAGAUUAGACCUCAAAUCAGGCAGGAUUACCCGCUGAACUUAAGCAUAUCAAUAAGCGGAGGAAAAGAAACUAACGAGGAUUCCCCUAGUAACGGCGAGUGAAGCGGGAAAAGCUCAAAUUUGUAAUCUGGUGCCUUUGGCGUCCGAGUUGUAAUCUCGAGAAGUAUUUUCCGCGCUGGACCGCACAUAAGUCUGUUGGAAUACAGCGUCAUAGUGGUGAAAACCCAGUAUAGGGUGCGGAUACCCAGUGCUUUGUGAUAUACUUUCAAAGAGUCGAGUUGUUUGGGAAUGCAGCUCAAAUUGGGUGGUAAAUUCCAUCUAAAGCUAAAUAUUGGCGAGAGACCGAUAGCGAACAAGUACCGUGAGGGAAAGAUGAAAAGCACUUUGGAAAGAGAGUUAACAGUACGUGAAAUUGUUGGAAGGGAAACACUUGAAGUCAGACUUGCAUUUUGGAGUUCAGCCGCAAGGUGUAUUCUUCAAUUCGCAGGCCAGCAUCAGUUUUUGGGGGUGGAAAAGCGCGGUUUGAAGGUAGCAGUUUCGGCUGUGUUAUAGCUUUCCGCUGGAUUCAUUUUUGGGGACUGAGGGAUGCAGUACGCUUUUUGCAAGACUUUCGAGUCUUUCGUACUUAGGAUGCUGGUGGAAUGGCUUUAAAUGACCCGUCUUGAAACACGGACCAAGGAGUCUAACAUGCUUGCGAGUGUUUGGGUGUUAAACCCGGACGCGUAAUGAAAGUGAAUGAAGGUGGGAUCCGCAAGGUGCACCAUUGACCGAUCUGGAUUUUCUAAGAUGGAUUUGAGUAAGAGCAAUUAUGUUGGGACCCGAAAGAUGGUGAACUAUGCCUGAAUAGGGUGAAGCCAGAGGAAACUCUGGUGGAGGCUCGUAGCGGUUCUGACGUGCAAAUCGAUCGUCAAAUUUGGGUAUAGGGGCGAAAGACUAAUCGAACCAUCUAGUAGCUGGUUCCUGCCGAAGUUUCCCUCAGGAUAGCAGAAGCUCAUAUCAGUUCUAUGGGGUAAAGCGAAUGAUUAGAGGCCUUGGGGUUGAAACAACCUUAACCUAUUCUCAAACUUUAAAUAUGUAGGAAGUCCUUGCUACUUAAUUGAGCAAGGACAUGCGAAUGAGAGUUUCUAGUGGGCCAUUUUUGGUAAGCAGAACUGGCGAUGCGGGAUGAACCGAACGUGAGGUUAAGGUGCCGGAAUACACGCUCAUCAGACACCACAAAAGGUGUUAGUUCAUCUAGACAGCCGCACGGUGGCCAUGGAAGUCGGAAUCCGCGAAGGAGUGUGUAACAACUCAACGGCCGAAUGAACUAGCCCUGAAAAUGGAUGGCGCUCAAGCGUGUUACCCAUACCUCACCGUCAGCGCUUUCGAGACGUUGACGAGUAGGCAGGCGUGGAGGUCCGUGUAGAAGCUUUUGCAGUGAUGCAGAGUGGAACGGCCUCUAGUGCAGAUCUUGGUGGUAGUAGCAAAUAUUCAAGUGAGAACCUUGAAGACUGAAGUGGGGAAGGGUUCCAUGGUAACAGCAGUUGGACAUGGGUCAGUCGGUCCUAAGAGAUAGGGAAAUUCCGUUUAAAAGUGUGCGCUUGUUCGUACCACCUAUCGAAAGGGAAUACGGUUAAAAUUCCGUAACCGAGAUGCAGAUUCUGAACGGUGACGUAAAUGAACUUGGAGACGCCGGUAAGGGCCCUGGGAAGAGUUAUCUUUUCUCCUUUACAACCUAUAACCCUGGAAUCGGAUUAUCCGGAGAUAGGGUUUAAUGGUUGGUAGAGCAUUGCAAUUUUGUAAUGUCCGGUGCGUCCUUAACGGCCCUUGAAAAUCCGAGGGAAUGAAACAGUCUUGCACUCGCUGGUAUAUGGGUCAGUCGGCCCUAAGAGAUAGGGAACUCCUUUCCAAGAUGUCCGCUUGUUUGCACCAUGUGGACCUUGUAGCAAGAACAAUACCUGCCCGUGGUGCCCCUGCUAAGAUCCCAAUGUGUUAUACGCAUUGAUCGAACUAAAUUGACAUAUACUUGUGGCAGAAUUCCUGGCGGAGCUGGUAGAAAUAAUGUGCUAAACUGCAAUGCAGUCCCAUAUACUGUCUCUGGGGGGAUGGGUGAAGGCGGAGCCCUGCCCCCCCAGGCUUGGAGAGAGCCCGAGAGGUGCAUCUUUUCCAGGUCUGUGAACAUCCUUUUGGGCUGACCAUUGCUGCCUAUGGACCCUGUGCAGAAUUAAUUGAUUGCUCAAAGAUGGCCAAAACCAAGCUGGCAACGCCCACCCCUGGGUCACCAGGGGCAGGACUUUCUGCAAAUGAUGGAACUAGGAAAAAAGAAUCAACAAAGAAAAGGGGGCGAAAGGAACGAGGGGGGAUCUCCCCCCUCAAGGAGCCAGGUAUUAGUGAGUGUUAUUAACUCUCUAGCCAUGUCCCUGGACUAAUUGCUGACUUCUCUCUGCAAUGGAGGCUCUACUGGUGGGAGCAAGAAGCUCAAAAGGAUGGGUGGUUCACCAAGUUUGGGCGCGGACACCUCUGAAAAGAUGGACCUGGUCACAGGUGUGCUUGAUGAGGCGGGCAAUGAAGGGUGGCAGAUGGACAAGGGGGGGAAGAAGGCAGCAAAACGCGCUGCCAAAUUGGCGAAAAAGGCUGCCAAGGCCUUGGAGAGUCAAUCUCUGGAGGAGGCCCAGCCUCAUGCUCUUGUGCAUGACCCCUCUCGUCAGGUAGUGGCCCUGCGGAAAGGGCCUACGACUGUUCCGCCUGCGGCCCAGAUUGACAAGUCCGCUGCAUUGGAGGGAAAAAAGGGCGCCUCAAUUGCCCCACACGAGGGGUUUCAAUUUUCGUUUGGCAACCAGAAGGCUAUGUCAGGAUCUAUGGUGGCAGCUGCUGAGGCAACAGCGGAGGAUUGCUCAAUGGAGCCCCUCAAGGUCAUGAUGGGCCCAAAGAAGCCCAGCAAGAAUCAAUUGAGGAAGAUGGCUCGUAAAAAGAGCCUGGCUAAGAAGGCUAAGAUCGAGAAGAAGAAGGGUGAGAUGGCCCUAUUGGACUCUAGUCUUGAAACUGAAUACCUGGCUGAUUAUG
Molecule: ribosomal RNA, 3444 nt
Filed under: Microbotryum violaceum
Lineage: Eukaryota; Fungi; Basidiomycota; Microbotryomycetes; Microbotryales; Microbotryaceae
Description: eukaryotic LSU rRNA
Rfam family: Eukaryotic large subunit ribosomal RNA (bases 409-2316)
Source: RNAcentral